GAUGAACGCUGGCGGCGUGCCUAAUACAUGCAAGUCGAGCGAACGGACGAGAAGCUUGCUUUUCUGAUGUUAGCGGCGGACGGGUGAGUAACACGUGGAUAACCUACCUAUAAGACUGGGAUAACUUCGGGAAACCGGAGCUAAUAUCGGAUAAUAUUUUGAACCGCAUGGUUCAAAAGUGAAAGACGGUCUUGCUGUCACUUAUAGAUGGAUCCGCGCUGCAUUAGCUAGUUGGUAAGGUAACGGCUUACCAAGGCAACGAUGCAUAGCCGACCUGAGAGGGUGAUCAGCCACACUGGAACUGAGACACGGUCCAGACUCCUACGGGAGGCAGCAGUAGGGAAUCUUCCGCAAUGGGCGAAAGCCUGACGGAGCAACGCCGCGUGAGUGAUGAAGGUCUUCGGAUCGUAAAACUCUGUUAUUAGGGAAGAACAUAUGUGUAAGUAACUGUGCACAUCUUGACGGUACCUAAUCAGAAAGCCACGGCUAACUACGUG
RNAcentral lists this ribosomal RNA (497 nucleotides) under uncultured bacterium. RNAcentral's name for it is "partial 16S ribosomal RNA". It matches the Rfam family "Bacterial small subunit ribosomal RNA", at positions 28 to 507 of the family's 1533-position model. The record is from RNAcentral.